AGGAUAAUACSUGAACGUACUCCCUGGCUGACCGGCAACGGAAGGCUGGGGAGSGUGCAACGUAUCGUAGGGAUAAACCGGGAAUGGGUGCACGCYUGGACCGCGCUAAAGACAGAUCUCGGCGAGCCUUCGGGUGAGCCUYGGCCUGAGCGGCUCUUGCUGUGUGCUUCUGACCUAUCAACUAGACGGCAGCGUAAGGGACAUGCUAUGGUGACAACGGUACA
This 224-nucleotide ribosomal RNA is filed under the name Polyschismium chailletii. Its description in RNAcentral is "Lepidoderma chailletii partial small subunit ribosomal RNA". The record is from RNAcentral. Lineage: Eukaryota; Evosea; Eumycetozoa; Physariida; Didymiaceae.